RNAcentral lists this ribosomal RNA (253 nucleotides) under uncultured bacterium. Its description in RNAcentral is "partial 16S ribosomal RNA". It matches the Rfam family "Bacterial small subunit ribosomal RNA", at positions 524 to 776 of the family's 1533-position model. The record is from RNAcentral.
UACGUAGGGUGCGAGCGUUGUCCGGAAUUACUGGGCGUAAAGAGCUCGUAGGUGGUUUGUCGCGUUGUUCGUGAAAUCUCACGGCUUAACUGUGAGCGUGCGGGCGAUACGGGCAGACUAGAGUACUGCAGGGGAGACUGGAAUUCCUGGUGUAGCGGUGGAAUGCGCAGAUAUCAGGAAGAACACCCGUGGCGAAGGCGGCUCUCUGGGACGGUACUGACGCUGAGACGCGAAAGCGUGGGGAGCGAACAGG